GAGGAUAUAGCUCAGUGGUAGAGCACAUGCUUAGCAUGCAUGAGGUCCUGGGUUCAAUCCCCAGUACCUCCC
This 72-nucleotide transfer RNA is filed under the name Camelus bactrianus (Bactrian camel). It matches the Rfam family "tRNA". From Rfam's summary of the family: Transfer RNA (tRNA) molecules are approximately 80 nucleotides in length. Their secondary structure includes four short double-helical elements and three loops (D, anti-codon, and T loops). Further hydrogen bonds mediate the characteristic L-shaped molecular structure. tRNAs have two regions of fundamental functional importance: the anti-codon, which is responsible for specific mRNA codon recognition, and the 3' end, to which the tRNAs corresponding amino acid is attached (by aminoacyl-tRNA synthetases). tRNAs cope with the degeneracy of the genetic code in two manners: having more than one tRNA (with a specific anti-codon) for a particular amino acid; and 'wobble' base-pairing, i.e. permitting non-standard base-pairing at the 3rd anti-codon position. Lineage: Eukaryota; Metazoa; Chordata; Mammalia; Artiodactyla; Camelidae. RNAcentral also lists the same sequence under 1 other name. The record is from Rfam by way of RNAcentral.